This 1353-nucleotide long non-coding RNA is filed under the name Anser cygnoides (Swan goose). Its description in RNAcentral is "lncRNA (ENSACDG00005000250.1)". The record is from RNAcentral. Lineage: Eukaryota; Metazoa; Chordata; Aves; Anseriformes; Anatidae.
CUCUUUCUAUCCCCAGCAGUCCAAUCCAAAUCCCAGUGAAGUCAAAAGAAUGAUUCCCACGUAUCUCAACAGUCUUUGGAUCAGGCCAUGUUAGAAGAAGGGAUUUGCCCCAGAUUUAGAGUAUGCUGCCACCCGUCAUUCACAAGACUGCCUUUGGUAUGAGUUUAUCCAGUGUCACACUGUUCUAAUAUUUUCUGCCCUAUUAAAAUAAGUUAAUUUUUUUAUCUGCAAUGUCAGCCCAUUUUAGUACUUCAGCCAUGACUAUUUUGAAUCAGUUUUAACUUCCUUGCAUACCUAUGCCUAAUAAAUUCUGAACACUUAGUUUUUACCAAAUCUAACAUGGGAGAGGUCAUCUGAAAGUUAAGUUGCUAAAAUUUCCGUGAAAAUAGAUAGCCAAGGUAGAGGUGAGGAGAGGCAAACCUAGUGCUUGUCAGUGAAGGAAUAAUGGCAACAUGAUCUCAAUUUGCUGGGAUUAGAGCAAUCAACAUGAGGAUACUCAGAGAAAAAGAACAGCUGAUGAGGAUUUAUUCAACCUGGAGUAAUCCGAGGAUAAAUCACAAAUAUAAAAAAAAAGCAAACUUCAUAAAUUUUGCUUUACCAAAACUACUUACCUUUGUAAAUUCUCAGGAGCCAGAGGCUGAUUUUUACAGGACAUUAACAUGGAAAUGGUUGCAGAGACAGCCAUGAAAAUGAAUGAUUUGGCUUCACCCAAAAUGAUGGAUAAUCCUGCUAGAAGAGCAUGACAAUGAUAGACAGACCUCUUCUGAGGGAAGAGGUAAUAGAGAAGACUGACACUUUGAUAGGCACCAUGAUGAACAAGCCCUCGGGGGCUGUGAGUUAAUAGGUUAACAGAAGUGUUCUGGCACUCUCAGCCCCUUCCAUCUCUGUGCUCCUUUUAGAGCUCCUUCAGCACCAACCUAAGUAACUCAUUGAACUCAGGACCUAUGCAUUUUGUAACGCAGCUAUGUGCUUCUUGCACAGUUCUUAGCAUCGUAGUAAAGCACAUAAUGAAACUACUUUCUUUACUUAAGUACAAAUGCCUGCUCUGCCCAGCUCUAUUUGACUUUGCCUCUUCCAUCUCUUAGACAUUGCUUGCAGGUAAUAUAAUCCCCUAAGGAUAUUGCACAUGUUGGGUUUAAUCACCUGUGAAAUACGUUGUCACAAUGUCCUGCUGAAGUUGAUGGUGGGCCACUUUCUGAGGUUGACUAAACCAGAAGCUAGCCCAAAUAGUUUCAUUGACACCAACAACGUAUGUGGCUGAUUUCUUGAAAUUCACUGUCAUAUCAUUUCCUUCUCCCCCUUUUUUCACCAUCACCCUUCAUUUCUCAUUGUUAGAAUUCUGAUCGAGUGCUA